GAAGCUAGAAAAGAAAAUCUCUAUAAAUAUUUAAAUCGAACUGAUAGUUCGCUAAAAAUAGACUUAAUGACGUCACGCUUCACGUUGGUAUUUGUUUAACUAAACCCAUGCCACAAGACACUCACUCAGGGAUGUGUCCGCAGGCCUUUUCUGGCGCCAGACGCAAACCAACCUCUGACUGCGCCGAGCAGAAGUGCAAAUCUGAUGAAGACUGCGCCAAGAACGAGAAAUGUUGCUACACUUACUGCGGAGGAACCGUUUGCUCAACGGUCGUUUACGUUAACAGAAAAACUUAAAAACAACUGCUGUCUUAAAAACGUAUCAAUAAAGUGAAUUAUCUGUGUAA
This is a long non-coding RNA of Zophobas morio, 346 nucleotides long. RefSeq lists it as uncharacterized. The record is from RefSeq and is a predicted model, not a curated record. The transcript has 2 exons. Lineage: Eukaryota; Metazoa; Arthropoda; Insecta; Coleoptera; Tenebrionidae.